Molecule: transfer RNA, 73 nt
Filed under: Acetatifactor sp.
Lineage: Bacteria; Bacillati; Bacillota; Clostridia; Lachnospirales; Lachnospiraceae
Description: tRNA-Leu
Rfam family: tRNA
About the family: Transfer RNA (tRNA) molecules are approximately 80 nucleotides in length. Their secondary structure includes four short double-helical elements and three loops (D, anti-codon, and T loops). Further hydrogen bonds mediate the characteristic L-shaped molecular structure. tRNAs have two regions of fundamental functional importance: the anti-codon, which is responsible for specific mRNA codon recognition, and the 3' end, to which the tRNAs corresponding amino acid is attached (by aminoacyl-tRNA synthetases). tRNAs cope with the degeneracy of the genetic code in two manners: having more than one tRNA (with a specific anti-codon) for a particular amino acid; and 'wobble' base-pairing, i.e. permitting non-standard base-pairing at the 3rd anti-codon position.
Source: RNAcentral
GGCGGAAUAGGCAGACGCAAGGGACUUAAAAUCCCUCGGGGGCAACCCCGUGCCGGUUCAAGUCCGGCCACCA